Long non-coding RNA from Bactrocera dorsalis (oriental fruit fly), 807 nucleotides. RefSeq lists it as uncharacterized. The transcript has 2 exons. The record is from RefSeq and is a predicted model, not a curated record. NCBI's taxonomy places the organism in Eukaryota, Metazoa, Arthropoda, Insecta, Diptera, Tephritidae.
UAUGGUGAACAAGCGGAAUUUUUGCUUUUGUUUCGUUUACAACUGAGGCAGUGCCUACUCUACUGGCUCUAACAAAUUUAUAUUUCUCAUCUUUCAAUCCUUUGGCCACUUGGUUUACAAACGCUGUGUGCAGAUAUCAUAACUCACGCUGAAAACUCGAAGUUUUUCAAAUCGGCAAAGACAAGCGAUAUUUAAGGAUCUACUGGGAGAACCUCUGUAUACAGAAAAACCUUAGAAAGCUUCUCAUUGUGAACCGAAUCGCGCCCAUUAUCGAAGAAAACUGUUUUACUAUUAAACGGAUUGAUGAUGGAAUUCAGAUCUAUCAUGACUAUCGUCGCUUUAUCGUGGCAAAGACAAUCAAUAUGACAGUGAUGUGAUAUGAGCAGUUAACUAUCAUGAAAUAAGCGCGUGUCUAACCCUGUUCUGUCAUCCUUCGUCUACGACGACGUUCGAUUUGAAAUUCGUUUGAAAACAGGUGUUUCCUCUUUGUUUUGUUUUGAUUAUUCUUACAGCACCAACUAAAAAUAUACAUAACUUUUUGAUUAAAAAUAAAAUAGGGAAAAUAAUGAAAUCCAUUUUGGUUUUGUUUUUUCUCUCGAAAUUUUUUAUAGUGUUUCAAAAUAAGUCGUGGUCAAAAUAACGAAUGAAAUUUCAUUGUUAAAUGUAAACCCAAACACAACAAAAACAAAGUUUUACAUAGGAAUAUACAAAUGUGGUUGCUAUUACGAAGUAUUAGUAUAAUAUUAUUCACACUUAUUGAUGUACAAUAACCGCCUAUGAAAGAUAAAUAAACCUAAUUACAAUCAG